RNAcentral lists this transfer RNA (85 nucleotides) under Felis catus (domestic cat). It matches the Rfam family "tRNA". From Rfam's summary of the family: Transfer RNA (tRNA) molecules are approximately 80 nucleotides in length. Their secondary structure includes four short double-helical elements and three loops (D, anti-codon, and T loops). Further hydrogen bonds mediate the characteristic L-shaped molecular structure. tRNAs have two regions of fundamental functional importance: the anti-codon, which is responsible for specific mRNA codon recognition, and the 3' end, to which the tRNAs corresponding amino acid is attached (by aminoacyl-tRNA synthetases). tRNAs cope with the degeneracy of the genetic code in two manners: having more than one tRNA (with a specific anti-codon) for a particular amino acid; and 'wobble' base-pairing, i.e. permitting non-standard base-pairing at the 3rd anti-codon position. RNAcentral also lists the same sequence under 1 other name. Lineage: Eukaryota; Metazoa; Chordata; Mammalia; Carnivora; Felidae. The record is from Rfam by way of RNAcentral.
GCCUGGGUGGCUCAGUCGGUUGAGUGUCCGACUUCGGCUCAGGUCAUGAUCUCAUGGUCUGUGAGUUCGAGCCCCACAUCAGGCU